Molecule: RNase P RNA, 273 nt
Filed under: Actinomycetota bacterium
Lineage: Bacteria; Bacillati; Actinomycetota
Description: partial RNase P RNA component class A
Rfam family: Bacterial RNase P class A
About the family: Ribonuclease P (RNase P) is a ubiquitous endoribonuclease, found in archaea, bacteria and eukarya as well as chloroplasts and mitochondria. Its best characterised activity is the generation of mature 5'-ends of tRNAs by cleaving the 5'-leader elements of precursor-tRNAs.
Source: RNAcentral
CGAGCCGGCCGGGCGGCCGCGUCGAGCCCACCAGGCUCGCCGAGGAAAGUCCGGGCUCCACAGGGCAGGGUGGUGGGUAACGCCCACCCGGGGUGACCCGCGGGACAGUGCCACAGAAAGCAAACCGCCGCCGCGCUCCUAUCCGGAGCGGGCGGUAAGGGUGAAAGGGUGGUGUAAGAGACCACCAGCGUCCGGGGUGACCCGGGCGGCUCGGUAAACCCCACCUGGAGCAAGGUCAAGAGGGGAGCUUCGGCUCCCUGCGCAGGCGUUCGA